Molecule: non-coding RNA, 427 nt
Organism: Pelobates cultripes (western spadefoot toad)
Lineage: Eukaryota; Metazoa; Chordata; Amphibia; Anura; Pelobatidae
Source: the annotation of a GenBank genome assembly
GUAAAAACUUUGUCGAGGGCGCUCUCGUUCCCAGAGUCACCUAUUAUAGCACUAUUUGGAUGGGUGAUAGGAAAGGUUGUGAGGCAUCCAACGGUACCCAGGAUGUGACGGAGCUCCAUGUACCAAGCGAAAGCACCAUCGAUUUAAGUGAAUUUCCCCCCAAGCACUAUGGAACUCUGCGCCAGAUUGGCGGACUGCCAUAGCCUGGUCAAAAUUUAAAUUUCCAGUUAACUCAGGCCAGCCACCUUUUGGACAGAGUGGAUUCUCUGAAAAAAAGCUUUAAGGGGACAGCAUUUAUUAGUCAGCACCAAGGUAUCUGGUGAUUAAAUUAUCUGGUCAGAAACUGACACCUAGGGGCUAGGUAUGUCAAGUAUGUAUUAUUCUACUGGGGACCUCCUUUUGAGGACCCAGGUAUAAAAGUGUGCCG